CAGCAGCCGCGGUAAUACAGAGGGUGCGAGCGUUAAUCGGAUUUACUGGGCGUAAAGCGUGCGUAGGCGGCUUUUUAAGUCGGAUGUGAAAUCCCUGAGCUUAACUUAGGAAUUGCAUUCGAUACUGGGAAGCUAGAGUAUGGGAGAGGAUGGUAGAAUUCCAGGUGUAGCGGUGAAAUGCGUAGAGAUCUGGAGGAAUACCGAUGGCGAAGGCAGCCAUCUGGCCUAAUACUGACGCUGAGGUACGAAAGCAUGGGGAGCAAACAGGAUUAGAUACCCUGUAGUCCCUGUCUCUUAUACA
RNAcentral lists this ribosomal RNA (301 nucleotides) under uncultured bacterium. Its description in RNAcentral is "partial 16S ribosomal RNA". It matches the Rfam family "Bacterial small subunit ribosomal RNA", at positions 509 to 808 of the family's 1533-position model. The record is from RNAcentral.